Schistosoma rodhaini is the source of this 44-nucleotide non-coding RNA. The record is from Rfam. Lineage: Eukaryota; Metazoa; Platyhelminthes; Trematoda; Strigeidida; Schistosomatidae.
AUCCAGCUUACGAGUCCAGAUGGGACAAAACGCACGUCCUGGAU